This 388-nucleotide ribosomal RNA is filed under the name uncultured bacterium. RNAcentral describes it as "bacterial SSU rRNA". It matches the Rfam family "Bacterial small subunit ribosomal RNA", at positions 29 to 416 of the family's 1533-position model. The record is from RNAcentral.
AUUGAACGCUGGCGGAAUGCUUUACACAUGCAAGUCGAGCGGCAGCGCGGGGGCAACCCUCGGCGGCGAGCGGCGAACGGGUGGAGUAACAUAUCGGAACGUACCCAGUCGUGGGGGAUAACUAUCCGAAAGGAUAGCUAAUACCGCAUACGUCCUGAGGGAGAAAGCGGGGGAUCGCAAGACCUCGCGCGAUUGGAGCGGCCGAUAUCGGAUUAGCUAGUUGGUGGGGUAAAGGCUCACCAAGGCGACGAUCCGUAGCGGGUCUGAGAGGACGACCCGCCACACUGGAACUGAGACACGGUCCAGACUCCUACGGGAGGCAGCAGUGGGGAAUUUUGGACAAUGGGGGCAACCCUGAUCCAGCCAUUCCGCGUGAGUGAAGAAGGCC